This 1066-nucleotide ribosomal RNA is filed under the name uncultured fungus. Its description in RNAcentral is "eukaryotic LSU rRNA". The stretch from base 1 to 669 matches the Rfam family "Eukaryotic large subunit ribosomal RNA", at positions 24 to 664 of the family's 3401-position model. The record is from RNAcentral. Lineage: Eukaryota; Fungi.
CCCGCUGAACUUAAGCAUAUCAAUAAGCGGAGGAAAAGAAACUAACAAGGAUUCCCCUAGUAACUGCGAGUGAAGCGGGAAAAGCUCAAAUUUAAAAUCUGGUGGUCUUUGGCCAUCCGAGUUGUAAUUUAGAGAAGCGUCUUCCGCGCUGGACCAUGCAUAAGUCUCCUGGAAUGGAGCGUCAUAGAGGGUGAGAAUCCCGUCUUUGGCAUGGACCCCCAGGGCUUCUGUGAUGCGCUCUCAAAGAGUCGAGUUGUUUGGGAAUGCAGCUCAAAAUGGGUGGUGAACUCCAUCUAAAGCUAAAUAUUGGCGAGAGACCGAUAGCGAACAAGUACCGUGAGGGAAAGAUGAAAAGCACUUUGGAAAGAGAGUGAAACAGUACGUGAAAUUGUUGAAAGGGAAACGCUUGAAGUCAGUCGCGUCGACCGAGACUCAGCCUCGCCUUGGCUUGGUGUACUUCUCGGCUGACGGGUCAGCAUCAAUUUCGAUCCUUGGAUAAUGGCAAGGGAAAGGUAGCACCUUUACAGGUGUGUUAUAGUCCUCUGUCGGAUGCUAGGGUUGGGAUUGAGGAACUCAGCACGCACCUCAUCGGUGUCGGGGCCUUUUGGCCUACGUCACGUGCUUACGAUGCUGGCAUAAUGGCUUUAAACGACCCGUCUUGAUACACGGAAAGGCGAAUUCGCUUAAACCUAGCAGACUAACCCCUAUAUUGAGGGUAAAUUCAGCACUUAGUAAUACCAUGGACAUACCUGUCCCCUCUGAAAAAUUGGCUUCAGCUUCCUAUUUCCCCAGACAAACGAGCCCGAAAGUUAUAGUUUCCCGCCCGCGUUGCCAAAACAAUAACCUAACCUCCAUUAAUAACGUGGAAAACCCCUCCCCGGUUUCCCAUAGAAAAAACUUUAACCCCCCAAUUCAAUUAUAUUAACCCCCCAACUCGCCCGGCUGAAACAAUUUUUCAAAAUCCCGGCCCUUUUCCCCUUCCUCCGUUCAAUGAUAUCCGGGCCAAUCGGGCGCUUCUAGCGCGGGCGAGAGGGGGAUUUUUUUUCCCUAUUAUAUCCGGGUCUAC